UAGGGAAUCUUCCACAAUGGACGAAAGUCUGAUGGAGCAACGCCGCGUGAGUGAUGAAGGGUUUCGGCUCGUAAAACUCUGUUGUUGGAGAAGAACAGGUGUCAGAGUAACUGUUGACAUCUUGACGGUAUCCAACCAGAAAGCCACGGCUAACUACGUGCCAGCAGCCGCGGUAAUACGUAGGUGGCAAGCGUUGUCCGGAUUUAUUGGGCGUAAAGCGAGCGCAGGCGGUUUCUUAGGUCUGAUGUGAAAGCCUUCGGCUUAACCGGAGAAGUGCAUCGGAAACCAGGAGACUUGAGUGCAGAAGAGGACAGUGGAACUCCAUGUGUAGCGGUGAAAUGCGUAGAUAUAUGGAAGAACACCAGUGGCGAAGGCGGCUGUCUGGUCUGUAACUGACGCUGAGGCUCGAAAGCAUGGGUAGCAAACAGGAUUAGAUACCCUGGUAGUCCAUGCCGUAAACGAUGAGUGCUAAGUGUUGGAGGGUUUCCGCCCUUCAGUGCU
RNAcentral lists this ribosomal RNA (501 nucleotides) under uncultured bacterium. RNAcentral describes it as "partial 16S ribosomal RNA". It matches the Rfam family "Bacterial small subunit ribosomal RNA", at positions 355 to 847 of the family's 1533-position model. The record is from RNAcentral.